Ceratina calcarata is the source of this 470-nucleotide long non-coding RNA. RefSeq lists it as uncharacterized. Lineage: Eukaryota; Metazoa; Arthropoda; Insecta; Hymenoptera; Apidae. The transcript has 2 exons. The record is from RefSeq and is a predicted model, not a curated record.
AGACAAAAAGAUUUUAAACUUUGUUUCAGGUUGUUGCAGCACCGUAUAAUGAUCAUCUUUGCCUGGCUGUAGCACAGGAACUAGAGAAAGCUCAUGGAGGCUGGGUCCUUCCUGCCUAAUUUACUUCCAAUUCUAUUUUACAUUAAUCAAUGGUGUGAUGAACAACCCCGCUCUUUUACGAGAAUUGAUAUAUCUUUUCGUCGAUUAUAUCCACAUUAUGCUGUGAACGAGAUGUUAUUGUUGAUUCAACGCAACUGUCGAUUCUGCUGAAUGCAUCUGAUAAUAGCAGUCAAAAUAGCAAUAAUGAGAUGUACAUUUUUGCUCAGGUGUAUGUUAAUGUUAUUACUUCUUCUACUUACUGAUUACUUCCUCGUUAUUAUUUACUGUCUCUAUCGAUAGUUUAAUUGUAAGAUGACAUGUAUAGUACGAUAAUUGGAUUACUGAAUACUGAAAUUCUUUAUUUAUCACAA